UAACUUAGUGGCGGACGGGUGAGUAACGCGUGAGUACCUGCCUUUCAGAGGGGGAUAACGUUCUGAAAAGAACGCUAAUACCGCAUAACAUCGCAUGAUCAAAGGAGCAACGCUGGAAGAUGGACUCGCGUCCGAUUAGCCAGUUGGCGGGGUAACGGCCCACCAAAGCGACGAUCGGUAGCCGGACUGAGAGGUUGAACGGCCACAUUGGGACUGAGACACGGCCCAGACUCCUACGGGAGGCAGCAGUGGGGGAUAUUGCACAAUGGGGGAAACCCUGAUGCAGCAACGCCGCGUGAGGGAAGAAGGUUUUCGGAUUGUAAACCUCUGUUCUUAGUGACGAUAUGACGGUAGCUAAGGAGAAAGCUCCGGCUAACUACGUGCCAGCAGCCGCGGUAAUACGUAGGGAGCGAGCGUUGUCCGGAUUUACUGGGUGUAAAGGGUGCG
RNAcentral lists this ribosomal RNA (447 nucleotides) under uncultured bacterium. RNAcentral's name for it is "bacterial SSU rRNA". It matches the Rfam family "Bacterial small subunit ribosomal RNA", at positions 88 to 571 of the family's 1533-position model. The record is from RNAcentral.